RNAcentral lists this ribosomal RNA (253 nucleotides) under uncultured bacterium. RNAcentral's name for it is "partial 16S ribosomal RNA". It matches the Rfam family "Bacterial small subunit ribosomal RNA", at positions 524 to 776 of the family's 1533-position model. The record is from RNAcentral.
GACAGAGGCCUCGAGCGUUAGGCGGAAUCACUGGGCUUAAAGCGUGUGUAGGCGGGUCCGUAAGUGUCUUGUGAAAUCCCACGGCUCAACCGUGGAACUGCUGGGCAUACUGCGGGUCUUGGGCCAACUAGGGGCAGCCGGAACAAGCGGUGGAGCGGUGAAAUGCGUAGAUAUCGGGAGGAACACCAGUGGCGAAGGCGGCUACCUGGACCAGCACUGACACUGAGGCACGAAAGCGUGGGGAGCAAACAGG